AGGCUACAAGUGAGAAAUUCAGAAAAAUACGGACAAAGCAACUACCCCACAUUUGUAGUCGCAAAGGUUAUGCAAGAUUGAUUGAUGAAUUGAUGAACCAUAGUGAAACCAAAACACCACCUUCUAGAGUUGAUGUUUGGACCAAAGCACAUAAGAAGAAAAAUGGCGAACCAGUAAAUUCAGAAGUGGCUGAAGCUUUUGAUUUGGUUGAAGAAUAUAAGAAAGAUCCUGCUAUGUCUUCAACUACAAGUGUUAAUGAAGACAUCCUCACAAAAGUCCUUGGUCCUGAAAAAAAUACAUACAUGAGAGCUUUCGGAAGAGGAGUUACUCGGUCAAAGUUGCAAAUUGUGUCAGAAAGAGAUGACCAUCUGAUGAAGAUAGAAGGUUAAUGCAAAGAUUUGAAAGACAAAAUGCAACACAUGGAGCAACUCAUUGUUUCUUUAAUGAAAAAUCAAAAUACAUCUACUCAGAGUGAGGAGCAAUCAAAUGUCAAUGUUCAAUCAAAUUCUCAUGUUCAUUCCACUCAGGUAAUUAUGAUACUAAUUAUAUGAAAAUGAUAAAAUCUAA
Long non-coding RNA from Humulus lupulus (European hop), 567 nucleotides. RefSeq lists it as uncharacterized. The transcript is spliced from 4 exons. NCBI's taxonomy places the organism in Eukaryota, Viridiplantae, Streptophyta, Magnoliopsida, Rosales, Cannabaceae. The record is from RefSeq and is a predicted model, not a curated record.